AUGGUAGCAGGACCUGACAAGCAUGAUGGGUUUCGUGAUGUUCGCACCAACUACAACUAUACGGAGCCAACUCUAGCAGGCAACGCAGGGUUGGUUGCUGCACUCGUGGCAUUGUCUGGUGACAAGGCAACCGUGAUUGACAAGAAUACUAUUUUUUCUGCAGUUCCACCAAUGUUUCCUACACCACCACCACCUCCGGCACCUUGGAAACCAUGAAAACGUUUUGAUCUUUCUUCUGUCCAUGUGUGACUUACAGUCUGAUGAUUUUGGAAUUAGUUUUUGGUACGUAAAUGACCUUGGAAGUGUAAGUAACGCAAAAAGGCAAGACAGGAGAUGAGUGAUAUGAGACAACCUGGACAAAACUCGUGGUGUUUGGCUGUCAGAUUGGAGAGUCAGAGAAGCAUUCAAACAUUGAUAAUUUGUAUAUGAAGUCUAUUUGGAUUUUGUGGUAUACAGACAGACGGAGUGCAUGUAUGAUAUUAAUGUUGUAUUAUUUGAAACACACCAAUAUCCAUUGACAAUAAAUUUGUGUUUAAUUGUUGCAGA
Molecule: long non-coding RNA, 546 nt
Filed under: Gossypium barbadense (sea-island cotton)
Lineage: Eukaryota; Viridiplantae; Streptophyta; Magnoliopsida; Malvales; Malvaceae
Description: long non-coding RNA (GBAR_LNC005366)
Source: RNAcentral